UCCAGACUCCUACGGGAGGCAGCAGUGGGGGAUAUUGGACAAUGGGGGGAACCCUGAUGCAGCGACGCCGCGUGGGUGAAGGAGUAUUUCGGUAUGUAAAGCCCUAUCGGCAGGGAAGAAGCAAGACGGUACCUGACUAAGAAGCCCCGGCUAACUACGUGCCAGCAGCCGCGGUAAUACGUAGGGGGCGAGCGUUAUCCGGAUUCACUGGGUGUAAAGGGAGCGUAGACGGCCAAGCAAGCCAGGGGUGAAAGCCCGGGGCCCAACCCCGGGACUGCCCUUGGAACUGCUUGGCUGGAGUGCGGGAGGGGCAGGCGGAAUUCCUGGUGUAGCGGUGAAAUGCGUAGAUAUCAGGAGGAACACCGGCGGCGAAGGCGGCCUGCUGGACCGCGACUGACGUUGAGGCUCGAAAGCGUGGGGAGCGAACAGGAUUAGAUACCCUGGUACCA
RNAcentral lists this ribosomal RNA (449 nucleotides) under uncultured bacterium. RNAcentral describes it as "bacterial SSU rRNA". It matches the Rfam family "Bacterial small subunit ribosomal RNA", at positions 330 to 797 of the family's 1533-position model. The record is from RNAcentral.